GAUUAAGAACGCAGCGAAAUGCGAUAAGUAAUGUGAAUUGCAGAAUUCAGUGAAUCAUCGAAUCUUUGAACGCACAUUGCGCCCCCUGGUAUUCCGGGGGGCAUGCCUGUCCGAGCGUCAUUACAACCCUCAAGCUCAGCUUGGUGUUGGGCCCCGCCGCCCCGGCGGGCCCUAAAGUCAGUGGCGGUGCCGUCCGGCUCCGAGCGUAGUAAUUCUUCUCGCUCUGGAGGUCCGGUCGUGUGCUCGCCAGCAACCCCCAAUUUUUUUCAGGUUGACCUCGGAUCAGGUAGGGAUACCCGCUGAACUUAAGCAUAUCAAUAAGCGGAGGA
Molecule: unclassified non-coding RNA, 329 nt
Filed under: soil metagenome
Description: partial contains 5.8S ribosomal RNA, internal transcribed spacer 2, and large subunit ribosomal RNA
Rfam family: 5.8S ribosomal RNA (bases 1-120)
Source: RNAcentral